This 1363-nucleotide long non-coding RNA is filed under the name Notechis scutatus (mainland tiger snake). RNAcentral's name for it is "lncRNA (ENSNSUG00000008840.1)". Lineage: Eukaryota; Metazoa; Chordata; Lepidosauria; Squamata; Elapidae. The record is from RNAcentral.
CAACAAAUUCCAAAAGGGGGAGAGGGCCAGCUUCACCUUCACCCGGCCUCAUCCAGGCCUGAUCUGGGCGAGCCAACCGCCUUUGCUAGUAAUUGUAUCUAACAUGGCAGACGACAAUCCCUCUAAACGUCCUUCUUUGAAGGCUAAGGCAAAGUCCCACUACUUGCGCAGGCAGGACAAGGAACCUAAGGGCUCUAGACAGGACAAGGAACCUUCCAAGGCCGCCCAACGUGACGCCUUAAGGCGCCACAAAGCGUUGGAAAAAGAGUUUGACCGGCGUUCAAGGGAGUCCCGCUCGGAGCCGUCAAUACCUCCUCCUCCAAACCCUUCUACCUCUGCUCAAUCUCUCCCCUCAGACCCCUCUUCCCUACCUAGGCGCAGUUCGCUUCAGGGUCUUCCGACCCCCGGACCUCCGACCAGACGGACCCCCGAAGCCACCUUUACACCCACAGCCGCUGGUCUGCGCCACGAUGAACCCUCUACCUCCGAGGUUCCACCUCACAUCAGGGCUUGGAUGGAAUCAGCCAUCCGCCAGGGCAUAGCAGAGGGACUACAACACAUGACAAGAUCAGGCUUCUCUCCGCGAGCCUCCGAGCACGACUCGAUAUCAAUCAGAUCCCUUCCACAACCGGUCCCCCCAGUUGAUCAGGUACUCUCUCAGAGGGACAGCCCUCCUCCGAUUGGGGCCCAGGUGGAGGAGGAAGGGGACUUUGGGGAUUUCAGGGAAGAGGAAGAGGAUUCCCGGAUGGGAUCCUCCCGCUACAGUGAACCCCUCUUAGAGGCUGACAUCAUGGAGGGGGAGAUGUCGGAGGACGAGGAUCCUUCUCCCGACCAACCCUCCUUUGGGGGGCUGUUCAAACCGCAUAUGUUCAAGUCCCUCCUCCUUAAGGCCAAGAAUGUCUCUGGCCUUCUUUCCCAGUCCACUGCAGAAACCCCCCCUGUCCCAGAGGGCCCGGAAGACUCCAUUUUCACCCAACCAGUGGUGGAAGCUGAGGUCAUCCCAUCCCCUCCCAUCUUCGUAGAUCUGGUAGCGAAGCAACUUACCUCCUCAGGGACCCCUCCCACUCCCUCUAGCCAAGACAAGAGAUUCUUUAAUCUCGAUUCGGCUCUGUCUAACCUCCUGAUUAUCCCGGAGGUUGAUGACCCCAUUGUGGGUCUAGCCUCCUCCUCUACCCCUAGUGAGGCCCUAGAGGCCUUGAAACCUGAGGACAGGCGGGCGGAGCAGGCGCUACGCAGGGCUCACCUAUCUGACGCCUGGGCCAUUAAAUCAGCUACGGCCGCCUCAUUUUUCACGAGGUCCUCUAUCCGCUGGCUACGUCAGCUCAAGGACCACAUCCCUGCUUCCAAUCUCAGAGCUCACCAG